AGAUAACAAAAUACAGUAUGUUGAAAUGAGAAAGGAGAUAGAUUUAGAAAAAAAAUAAUGAAGAGUGAAAACGAAAUAAUUAAAAAUUGAAAUUUAUCAUCACUCAUUUGUUUUAAUCACAAUAAAACUACAAAAGGGCGAACAAUAGCCAAGUAAUAUAGAUCAACAAUAGUAAAGCAAUUACAAGUAUGAAUAUAUGCAGGGAGCUUGACUGUUAUGACCAAUAAAUCUCUAACCAUAAAAGUAAUUAUACACACAGUGUCCGUGGAAAGGAUCUAAACAAUCCGUGCUCGUGGUGCCAUUAUCUCAGUUGUGUUGCUACUUCCAUAUGGAGCUGCAACAGGUUGCUCAUCUCGUGUCAGGUCAGAAUUCCUUAAUCAUUUCAUAUGAUCGUAUCUCUAUCACUAUGCAUGCCUAAUUGCAAUAUGUUGUUGAAAUUGUGCAGGCUGCAGAAACAGGGAAUCAGUACACAUUCACAUGCUUAGGCAGCAGCAGCAAAAGCAAAUACAUAAAUACACACACCCACAAAUAUUUUUAUCUUUAUCUUCACCUUCUGAUUAAAAAUAAAUAAAGGAUACCAAGUUUAUUAAAUUCAAAACUGGUGCAUCAAUCCCAUUUCAUGAAAGAACUUGAAAAUCCAUAAAAAUCAAAACUUGACCACACACAUACACACAAACACAAAGACAUAAGAAUAAGUGCUUGUAACUACUUUUUGUCCAGUCUAAGAUAGUCAGCUAAAAUGAUGAUUCUUAUGCUUAUACGCAUAUAACAGAUAAUGUUUUUCGUGUGUGUUUGUAUGUGAGAAAAGUAGGAAAUAAAGGAUAGUGGCUAUAUAUGAGCAAUGACAACAACAAAUUGGUUCUCUAACACUGAAAAAGGUGUAAAUUGGAAGCUAUUGAAAAAUAGUUUAUUCAAUACAGUAAAGAGCAAAGAUACUUAUGACACCAUCAAUUUUUUAGCUCUACCAUGGCAUUCUUUCAUUUCUAGGAAUUAAAUAAGCUUGCAAUAAGAUUAGAAAGAAACAAACAUCCUGUUAAAUUCACAAUUUCAAUUCAAAGUAAUUAACUUUACAAAAUAAGCCAUCUUCUCAAGUUGCAAAGGAAACAUGUGAAGAAGCUUAUUCAUAAUCAAAGAAAUCCACAACUAAACAUAAAUCUAGCUUCCAUCCAAUAUUAUUUGGAUCCAAAUGGAGCCUCAUCAGUAUGUAGGCAUGGAGAGGUGGAUCAAUUUCUAGUUGAGUAAAACAACAACACAAAUGUAUGAGAAAUGAAUUCAAGGCCUCUAAUGACAACCCGUGAAAAGAAGAUGGCAAAGUAUAAUGAUUACUCAAUAAAUACCUUUCGAGACAUUGAUACUCAGAAUCUCAAUGCCUCUAAGGACAACCCAUGAACAUACGCAUUCAGGUACCUAUGAAGCAAAUGCAAUAACUAUAAGAAAAUUAAGCAAUAAAAGACAUAAAUCAAAAUGAUUUGGAUAAUCGCAUAAAGAAUUCAUCGAAGAUAAUAGAAAUAAAAAAUAUUUGGAGUAAACUCAAAAAUCACUUAGAGAACAUGAAUGCAAUAUUCCAAUAACUCAACGGUCACUCACAUAAUAUUUAGAUCAAUAGAGUGAAAAUUCCACAUCAAAUAAUAUGAAAACUGCUUAUAUUCAAACUGCUGAAUUUUACGGCUAAUAAUUACAAAUUAUAAGCACAUAAGAACCAAUCAUUAGAGGGACAUAUGGACACUUCAAGGAGCAAAAUACAUAAAACACAAUUCGUUCAACUUUAUGCUCUAAAAAUCAUUAAAACAUAAACACAUAAAACACAAUUCGUUCAACUUUAUGCUCCAAAAAUCAUUAAAGCAUAAGUCCAACAGUUCUGCGUAAAGAGUGAAACACCUCUAAAAAGAGCAUUGAAAUAAAAGAGAUAAUAUAACCUUCGAACCAUAGGUGCCGCUGGUGCAGAGAAAUACACAACCGCAACACCCUUCCAAACGGUGAAUCCGCCGCACGUGGAGGGCUGCAUCGGUCCAGGAGUUCUACGUUCCAGUAUUUCAAGAUGAUAAACAUUGAAAUUAGUACCAGCACUUUUAGAAACACUGUUUUAAUUUCCGAUGCAGUGGUCAUCAGUGUAUUGAUUGAUAGAAUAGAAACAGAGAUAGAGGAAGAAACUGAUUGCUUUUGCUUUUACCGUUUUGGGCGACACUGGUUUGAGGCGAUGACGCUAGGGCGGCGAUUGACGAUCGAGAAUCGAGAAAUGGCAGUCGAGUCUUCGAUUGAGUUUGGUGAGCGAUGGAACGGUGAGGAGCGGUUAUGAAAUCUGGAAUAGAGAAGAGAGUUGAUGAAAUGGGUUUAAGAUAUUGGGAAAAUUUCCUUAAAAUCAUGGGAGAAUAAUCGAAUAAUAAAGAAACAGAGAGAGACAUGAAGAAACUGGUUGGUUUUUCUUUUACCGUUUUGGGCGACGUUGGUCUGAGGCGGCGGCGCUAGGCCGGCGGUUGGUGACCGAGUCUGGUGAGCGAAGGAACAGUGGCCGAGUCUUUGAUAUUGAGUUUGGUGAGUAAUGGAAAGGCGAUGGACGGUUAUGGAGAUAAGAGAGUUUGAGGAAAAGGAUUUCGGAUAUUGGGGAUUUUUCAUUAAAAUCGAGAAUUUGAUGUACACAUACGUGGUGUGAUAUUAUGUGCUGAAUGGUGGAGGUGGGUUAGUGGAGACAGUUCUCUGUAAAUUAAAUUGAAUUAAUCUAUUGUAAUUAAUGGGUUAAUGGUAGGUUAGUGG
Molecule: long non-coding RNA, 2751 nt
Filed under: Salvia miltiorrhiza (redroot sage)
Lineage: Eukaryota; Viridiplantae; Streptophyta; Magnoliopsida; Lamiales; Lamiaceae
Description: long non-coding RNA (SMIL_LNC010360)
Source: RNAcentral